GGCUUACACAUGCAAGUCGAGGGGCAGCGGGGGUAGCAAUACCCGCCGGCGACCGGCGCACGGGUGAGUAACGGGUAUGCAAUCUGCCUCCGAAAGCGGGAUAACCCGGAGAAAUCCGGACUAAUACCGCAUGUUGCGACGUUGCCGCAUGGCGACAUCGCUAAAGAUUCAUCGAUCGGAGAUGAGCAUGCUUUCCAUUAGCUUGUCGGUAGGGUAACGGCCUACCGAGGCAUCGAUGGAUAGGGGAACUGAGAGGUUUGUCCCCCACACCGGUACUGAGACACGGACCGGACUCCUACGGGAGGCAGCAGUGAGGAAUAUUGGUCAAUGGGCGAAAGCCUGAACCAGCCAAAUCGCGUGAAGGAUGAAGGUAUUAUGUAUCGUAAACUUCUUUUUCGGGAGAACAAAUGACGGGACGUGUCCCGUUUUGCGCGUAUCCCGCGAAUAAGCAUCGGCUAACUCCGUGCCAGCAGCACGCGGUAAUACGGAGGACACGAGCGUUAUCCGGAUUUAUUGGGUUUAAAGGGUGCGUAGAGCGGUUUAUUAAGUCAGUAGUGAAAUGUUGCAGCUUAACUGUUAAAUGGCUAUUGAUACUGAUAAGCUGGAGUGAGAUUGGAGUAGCUGGAUGUGUGGUGUAGCGGUGAA
RNAcentral lists this ribosomal RNA (645 nucleotides) under uncultured bacterium. Its description in RNAcentral is "bacterial SSU rRNA". It matches the Rfam family "Bacterial small subunit ribosomal RNA", at positions 45 to 685 of the family's 1533-position model. The record is from RNAcentral.